Long non-coding RNA from Mus musculus (house mouse), 4713 nucleotides. RefSeq annotates it as predicted gene, 33977. The record is from RefSeq and is a predicted model, not a curated record. The transcript has 3 exons. Lineage: Eukaryota; Metazoa; Chordata; Mammalia; Rodentia; Muridae.
UGUGUCUGUCGUAUAUAUGACACUUCAUUUCCUCCUCAGAGCAAGCCCAAAGCUCUGCUACCACCACCCCACUUUACAGUGAGGAGACUGAGACACAGGACAGUUCUGAAAUGCACACGGCAGCUAUGCCUGGUCAUGUCUAAGUGUGUGUCACUUUCCUGUCACUCCAGCUGAGGCCGGAAGGGCUAGUCCACUUGCUGAGAAGAAGCAGAGCCUCAGAGGCAUGGCUCAAGGUGUCUUAGGUGACAGGCAACGAGGCUUGAGGGAAGGAUAGCUACCUCAGAAGCCCUGGAUACCAGGGCUCAUGAAGCCACCACCAUCAAGGGUGAGGGGAAGUGACCAGCUACAGAAAGGAGGCAAAACUGCUCCCCUGGGGUACCAAAGGACAGGACUGGGGCUACUGCUACCGUGGACAGCCUCUGCAGAUAGAAGCAGCCCAGAGAACUGCCUUGUCCCUCUCCCUAGAACAAUCCUCUGGUAAGCCAGUGCUAAACUGGACACCACCUGAGAAAUACUCUACCCCACUUCUGUCACAGGUAAGACUUGAGUCACAUCUUCAAAAACGUGCCCCUUAGCUUCUUCAGUCUGCUCUCCUCCCCACUUGUGGCCUAGCUCUCCGGAUCUGAACGGCAGGCCCAUCUUCUCUCUCCUGCACUCGACUACCCCCAGCAAAAAGCCCAACAUAACCUCCUCACAGGAGAAAGAGCUCAGGCCCAGGGGGAACACCAAGGAACUCCAGUGAGGCCACGGCCAGGGGCCUGGAUGCAUAGAUACAGGCGUAUCCUCUCGAAAGAAGGAGAAAUGCAUGCAAAAAUCACAGCAAGCGGUUGAGCGAAUGGGCACGAAGUCAACGAUCCACACAUCGGACCCCAUCUUAGUAAACACACAGAUCCUUAUGACAAUGUGAAACCAGAAAACCUGUCACUGUGUAACUUAAUAUAUGCUAAUAAAAGCAUUAAAAUAUGAACAGCUAGGUAAAUAAAUGCUGAGGACCCCACAGCCCCCAUUAAAAGAAGAACUGCCAGCAUUCAAAGCUUCAGCCCAGGAAUAGAAACACUUCAGCUUGCCUAGACUCGCCGUUGCCGGUCCCAUCCCCACCUUCCAGCUGAAAUCUGACAGCUCAUCAUUUCCUGCAUUAAAAUUUCAAACUCCUUUAUUUGGACUCUCUCAUUACAUCCGUCUCAGCACUCCCCAUGAGUCUUCAACUGUCUCCUUACAUAACGCGCCUGCACAAGGUAAACAAGGGAAUUGCCUUGCUCCUAGAUACAUGCCGAGGUUCACGGUGUGUGCGGCACAGCCUGCAUCCUCAAGUGCUCUGCCUACUCCACAUCCUUUCCUGAAUAUGUGGCUUAACUCUUCCUGCUUCCAAGAAGCCUUUCCCAGCCGUCUCCCCGCCAAAGCAUCCACACACCCUUCCAGCCUCGCAGAACCUUCCUCUCCCUGCACGGUUCUGGCAAGCGUCAUCUGUCCUGAUUCCAUGUUGGCUUUCCCCCUUGGCCUUUUACCACUGUGCUCUGAACACUGUGGUGUUCCUUCCAGGGCUAAGGGUCACAUCUACUGGAAAAUAGAACUGAACAGUACUCGACAGAUACCAUUGUGGUAAUACGUAAUGUUGGUGUGGGGGUAAGAAUGGACCUAUGGAAGACAGGGUGGAAUCUCUUAGGUCACCAAAGACAAACAAAAGCCCUGUGUGACUUCCACGAAAACAUUCUGCUCCCGUCCUACAUUUCCCACAUGUGUCAGCCACUUAUUCUUGUUCCAAUCACCACGACAUUCGCAUUUCUCCAUAUAUGAGCAGCAAUUAUAUUUCCUUUGGUGGGUAUGUUCCAAGACUGCAUAUUAAAAUCACCUAGACCGCAUUCUGUACAAAUAAACUUAUUAAAAUCCUGAGGCUUCUAUAUUUGAAAACUCAGGCACACCGCUUCUGGGGAUUUUAAAUUUCAGUACAAUAUUUUGGGGUUGUUAUUUUCUUCCUGAGUAGCAGAGCAAUCUCCACGCCAAAUCAGACUGGUUCACUUUCACGCCAAGGUCCUUGGUAGUUCCUAACUCUUAAAACAAAUAUACUCAAGAAUACAACCCAGCAUCCUUUGCCGUGCUCUCUGAGAAUAGGAUUUCUUACUUCUAGUUCUGUGCUUCCACUGUGUCUCUUUGGGAAGUCCUGACUGUCUAUAGGAUAUUACUAAUAAAAUGGCAAUAAUGAAGCAUGCAUUCAUUUCAGCUUACGGCGGGCAGGCUUGUCAGGACACCACAUCCUGGAAAGUCAAGUGGUAUCUACAAGGGACAUCUUAGCAGAGUAUCAGCUACGUUAUCUCCAAGUAUCAGAACAGGACAGGCUUGAGUCAAACACCUGGCCUCAAGUGAUCUUCUUCCCCCGCCGUCCCAAGGACAUGCCGCCAUGCCACGGGCUGGUGAUAAAGGACGCGGAUCCUCCUGGGUUUCCCUCUGUUUUAUUCCUUCUCCUUUUCUGCUCCACCUCCAUCUCCUUCUACAUCUGGUUGGCCCACAACUUGCUUUGUAGACCAGGCUGUCCUGGAAUUCACAGAAACCAACCUGCCUCUGCCUCCCAAGUGCUGGGAUGGAAAGGUGUGUACCACCAUGUCCCCACCAUGGCAGGGCCCAGAUCUUUACACAAUCGCCUUAAAACUUGAGUCUAGCCAGGUAUGAAAGAGAGCUCAUGUCUGCUCUCCUAGCUGUGGGAGAGGCUCGCUAUGAGUUCGAGGCCAGCCUGUAUUACAUAGUGAGCGCACAGUAAGACCUGGCCUCAAAUAAACAACUAAAUCCACGUACAUAAACCCUAGAUGCUAAAAUGGAAUUUUUUUUUCAGAUGCUCGUGGCUUCGGAUAAAAGGAAGAGAAGGAGCUCAAUAAACCCUGUUUAAGCCUAUUUUAAAACUGUAUUAAUUAAAAAUAAAAAUAACAUUUUAGAAAUGUAUAAUAAGACUCUUUCUUUGACAAGCCCAAGGAUAACAGCAUUGUCUCUCACCAGGCCCUAGAAAGGGAGCCAAGAAGUAGACUGUGGCUUCUGACACAGCAGGCUAUGUCACGUGGAUGUGGUUCUUGCUCAGGCUCAGGCCAGCACACACUGCGAGAGCUGCUAGGUGGCCAGGCCAGACCGCGUACAGUCAGGGCCCUUGGGGGAACCAUGUGCUGGUUCCCAUGGAGCUCACUGCAGGGAUUUAGGUCCCCCAGGGUAUGUUUUAGCCUUGCACACGAGUCUGGGUACCUGCUGAUCCACAAUGUGGUCUUUUUACCCAAAGCAGGCUUCUAGGGUAGGGGGCAGGAACGGAGUUGAGACAUUUAGAAAUAGGAGGCACUUGGGCUGAGUCAGCCUGUGGGCAAAGGGCCAGUCCCUGAUGCUCUUACUCCUCAAGAAACAUAGCAAGGAAGCUCCUUACAGCCUGGCAGGAGAGCAGCAGGAGCCAGGGUCCUGCAGGCAGCCUCUCGAGAGUCACAAGUGUCAGGAACUGGUACAGAAGGAAGGACUGGACUCCCAUUAGGGAGCACCGAUGUGGCCAGGCCCAGGCUAAAGACUUCCCAUCAUUCACAGACCCCCUCCUGGCACAGCAGUGAACACCCAGACCAGGAGUGCAGACAUGUCUGCUUAAAACACAGGCAGAAAGAGAAGGCUCCACAAGACAAAGGCCAGCCGGUAGGGCCAGGCUGGCGGCACCGACAUAGGAGGAGGGCAAAUACACAGGAUUAGAGAAGAGAAAGGUCAGCCAGAAUGUCAGUGUGAAUGGUGCCCAUUCCACCACUGCCUGGAGAGAGGGGCCCUGUGUGGCCUGGGCUAGGGUUGGCUCAGCAGGAUGUCAGCAUCUGGGGCUCCCCAGGGCCACUCAGCAGCCUUCUUGUCCUCUAAGCUUCCCAUCUGGACGGCCUGCAGGGAGACGGCUCCUCAACUGAGCCAUGGCCUGGUGGCUGGACCAGCUCUUUAAAAUGAAUCAACUGACAUCUGGUUAACCUUCGAACCAGGGUUGGGGUGAGCGAGUCAGCAUCCAGUCAUCAGAUACCAUGUUCAUUUCUCAGCUCCCCUAGCUACCGCCCGGGUCCAAACCUGCUUGAUCCAGGGUCUCCCUCCCCGAAGUCAUUCAUAGGACUGAUUCUCCAAGAGCAACCACAGCCAUCUUCGCAGGAAUCAAGUUGGACGCCCUUAUUAUAACCUCCAGUGGUAUGUGGCUGCACAAGCCUGUAAUCAAAGCCCUCGGGAGGCUGAGGCAGGAGGCCCUUAACUCAAGGCCAGCUUGGGCAACAUAUCAAACCCCAAAACAUCUCUAAUGACUUCCCAUCAAAAUAAGGCACCCCCUCCCUACUACACUGUAGUGGCCUCUGCCCAUCUUUCCAGCAUCUGCCCCUACCCCUGCCAGCGAGCACUGCCUUCGCCUACGUAAGCCUGCCCCUUGCAGCCUCUGCCUGUGCUUCAACUGUGCAGGCUUGACCCUGCCUCAGGACUUUGUCUUCCCUGUUCAUGAGCUGUGACUCUGUCCCCUCUCCUGGUAUGACAACUUUCACCUUUGUCUGUCUACCCUUUCUAACAUGGGCCCCUCUCUCUAACUUCCCAUUGUGACAGCAUGCCAACUUGUUUGUGCUUGUGUUCAUUCAAGUACUUUCGUCUGUCUGUUUUUCCAGUGGUUUGUUUGUUUGUUUGUCUGUUUGUUUGUUUGACAUCAUCACAACUGAGCUACACUCACUGACUGACUGACUUAUUUCUAUUCUC